GUCACUUGAUUUCUUUUCUCAGCACGGGUCUUGCCUUCCUGCCUGAGCAGCAUUUCCCUGUGUGACAGUGAGCUGUCUCCAAGCGUGUGAUCCAGUCCCAGGGAGCCCAGGGAGGCUGAGCACGGGCAUGUGAGCAGACUAAGCUACCAUUAGAGGAAGUGAUCUGCAGAACAAAAGCUGCCUGCUGAGGAGAAGACAAGACUGCCCUAGGACUUGUUUCCAAAGUCCUCUGCUGCUACAAAAGGCACUUCUCCUUCUAGACUUGACUGGCAGAGUGGUUCUGGAGCUUGGCUGCAUCCUCUUCCACAGAGAAGGUUAUAAAAAGAAAGCCCAAACUUCAAACCA
Long non-coding RNA from Struthio camelus australis, 345 nucleotides. RefSeq lists it as uncharacterized. Lineage: Eukaryota; Metazoa; Chordata; Aves; Struthioniformes; Struthionidae. The record is from RefSeq and is a predicted model, not a curated record.